Etheostoma cragini (Arkansas darter) is the source of this 181-nucleotide long non-coding RNA. RefSeq lists it as uncharacterized. Lineage: Eukaryota; Metazoa; Chordata; Actinopteri; Perciformes; Percidae. The record is from RefSeq and is a predicted model, not a curated record. The transcript is spliced from 3 exons.
CUGCUACAUCACCAGAAUCGUUGGUCUGAUUGGUUGAAUAGCAUUUGAACGGUGGCUAUUGGUGACGCCCCUUUGGAAAUGACCUGUGAAUGAACCUUGCCCAGACCCACUCUCAGUUACAACUGAGAAGGGUUUUGUGUCAACCAGGCUAGCUUUACAAUCUUACCUACUGCAUCUUUAA